AUUGAACGCUGGCGGCAGGCCUAACACAUGCAAGUCGAACGGUAACAGGAAGACGCUUGCUUCUUUGCUGACGAGUGGCGGACGGGUGAGUAAUGUCUGGGAAACUGCCUGAUGGAGGGGGAUAACUACUGGAAACGGUAGCUAAUACCGCAUAACGUCGCAAGACCAAAAAGGGGGACCUUCGGGCCUCUUGCCAUCGGAUGUGCCCAGAUGGGAUUAGCUAGUAGGUGGGGUAAAGGCUCACCUAGGCGACGAUCCCUAGCUGGUCUGAGAGGAUGACCAGCCACACUGGAACUGAGACACGGUCCAGACUCCUACGGGAGGCAGCAGUGGGGAAUAUUGCACAAUGGGCGCAAGCCUGAUGCAGCCAUGCCGCGUGUAUGAAGAAGGCCUUCGGGUUGUAAAGUACUUUCAGCGGGGAGGAAGGGAGUAAAGUUAAUACCUUUGCUCAUUGACGUUACCCGAAGAAGAAGCACCGGCUAACUCCGUG
RNAcentral lists this ribosomal RNA (490 nucleotides) under uncultured bacterium. RNAcentral's name for it is "partial 16S ribosomal RNA". It matches the Rfam family "Bacterial small subunit ribosomal RNA", at positions 30 to 507 of the family's 1533-position model. The record is from RNAcentral.